Rosa chinensis is the source of this 1319-nucleotide long non-coding RNA. RefSeq lists it as uncharacterized. Lineage: Eukaryota; Viridiplantae; Streptophyta; Magnoliopsida; Rosales; Rosaceae. The transcript is spliced from 4 exons. The record is from RefSeq and is a predicted model, not a curated record.
UGUCUCUCCAUUUCCUUUCCAUUUUCCUAAAUAUUCCUUCAUCCAUUCACUACUAAAAAAACCUUCAAUUGCUUCGAAAAUUUGCGACGGAAAAGUUUUCCGUCGCAAAAAGUCAACUUUUGCGACGACAUGUGCUACGGCUAUUUUACCGUUGCAUGUUAAAGAAUUUUUGCGACAGACAUAACAUUACCGUCGCAUAAUUAGACAUCAAUUGCGACGGUAUAGUCACGUCGUCGCUUGUAUAACUAAAAAAAAAAGAAACAAAUACGACUAUUCCUUCAGAUCUAGAUCAAUUUCUUUCACGCGACACUUCCUCCUCUUUCUCUCACGCUUCAUUCACCGAGCUCAAAACCCUAACCUAGUGAUCCUCGGCCGCCAUUGAAGAGAGAGAUUUGGUGACAAGCGGAGGAGAUCGAGCUUCAUUGACGACGUGGCCGAGGAGGAGGAGGAGGAGGACGAUGAAAACGCCCUAUCGUGGUGGCGGCGGUGGGAGUGUAAGCGGAGCAAAAAGAGGCUCUCCGAUAUGGGUUUUCUUGAUCUCGAAGCGGUGGUCGAUUCAGAUAAGGAGGAAAAGGAGGAUGAGGGUUGAAGCUUAUUCAGUUGAAGCUUGCUGGUGACUGGACCUCCGGGUGUUGGUAAAACCACUCUAAUAGUGAUUAGGAUAGUUGACAAGAUUUAGUAUCGAUAUCGUGAAACCCACCGGUACGGUGGCGCCAGGGGCGGAUCCAAGUACACCCUUGGGAGGACUCAAGCCCACCCGAAACUUUUGGACUAAAAAAAAAAAUCUAUAUGUAUGCUUCUUUUUUUCUUCCGAUAAUUGAGUGCUGGCUUUGUCAAGCCCACCCGAAGUCCCAACCAGCCAAACUUGAUUGCCUGACGAAGACUCUCACAACCUCUCAGUCUCUCGUUCUCUAUACUUCUCUGAAAGAUCAAACCUUAGAUCCGUAGUCCGUCGGCUCCGUCCUUCUUUUCGUCUUCUACUCAUAUUCUUCAAUUUGCGGCAAUCAAUUCAAUUGGAUCGAGGAUUGUUUUGUGUGCCAUCGAUAUCAGAGGAAUGAUGAGGGCAAGUUAUUUGCGUUGGAACUUGCCAACGAAAAUGAUACGAAUCAAACAUAUGAACGUCUUCACAGGCUCUUUACUUAGGUGGGUAUAUUUGAUAAAUAGCAACUGACAAUAAUUCAAGUCGUCCUCAGCCCCCAAGUCCAUGAAGGUGAAUGGCUCUCUCAAUCUUUUGGCUCAUACCCAGAUCGUUUUCUUGCAUUUAAUUGUGUAAAGUUGAAGCCUUUGCCUUUUUUGAGCCAAUUUGAUGUUUUCAAUUG